RNAcentral lists this ribosomal RNA (492 nucleotides) under uncultured bacterium. Its description in RNAcentral is "partial 16S ribosomal RNA". It matches the Rfam family "Bacterial small subunit ribosomal RNA", at positions 29 to 507 of the family's 1533-position model. The record is from RNAcentral.
AGUGAACGCUGGCGGUAGGCCUAACACAUGCAAGUCGAACGGCAGCACAGUAAGAGCUUGCUCUUACGGGUGGCGAGUGGCGUACGGGUGAGGAAUACAUCGGAAUCUACUUUUUCGUGGGGGAUAACGUAGGGAAACUUACGCUAAUACCGCAUACGACCUACGGGUGAAAGCAGGGGAUCUUCUGACCUUGCGCGAUUGAAUGAGCCGAUGUCGGAUUAGCUAGUUGGCGGGGUAAAUGCCCACCAAGGCGACGAUCCGUAGCUGGUCUGGGAGGAUGGUCAGCCACACUGGAACUGAGACACGGUACAGAGUCCUACGGGAGGCAGCAGUGGGGAAUAUUGGACAAUGGGCGCAAGCCUGAUCCAGCCAUACCGCGUGGGUGAAGAAGGCCUUCGGGUUGUAAAGCCCUUUUGUUGGGAAAGAAAAGCAGCAGGUUAAUACCCAGCUGUUCUGACGGUAACCAAAGAAUAAGCACCGGCUAACUUCGUG